Paramormyrops kingsleyae is the source of this 567-nucleotide non-coding RNA. The record is from RefSeq and is a predicted model, not a curated record. Lineage: Eukaryota; Metazoa; Chordata; Actinopteri; Osteoglossiformes; Mormyridae.
CGGGCGCGGGUGUAUGUGGGGUGUCUGCCCCCGAUUUUAAAUAAUGCCUGAAUAACAAGCUGUCUGUUUAUUACGCAGACUUUUAUCUGUAUUUUGUGUUAGUUGGGGAGCCUUAAUAAUGAACAAACUGCCCCCGACAUGCGACCUGGUUCCGAGGCGAUUCAGACAGGUCAUAAGUCGAAUUUGACGUAUGUCUGAACAGGAUAAUCGCACUGAAUUUUAGACGUGAAAAUGAGACUGGGAUAUGCGUGUUAGGAUGGGAGUACACUACAAGGGCGUAGAUUUGGCUAUGGAGGGUAUAAUCUUUAAAGUUCACGGAGGACAUGACGGGAAAGUAUGAAGCUCUACCGGACCGUCCGGGUUGGCGCGAGGCUUGUGACGUCCUGCUGCCGCCGCAGACAGCAAACAGCAAAGCCGUGUACAUCACUGCUUGGUGGCCUGACUCCUGGAAGAGGAUGAGGUUCAACAUGACGGCAUUAGCAUCUCUAUCCCAGGGACCUCCGGCAAACUUUGAUAAAGAAGGAAGACUUUGGGUGCACAGGCCCCCCCCCGGCAUUCCUCAGCCAC